GGCAAGGCCGCGUGAACACGCAGUGAGGAGGAGGCUGUUUCCGAGCCGGGGAGAGGGGCCUCCCGGGGAGCCGGCCCUGGCUCGCCCGCCCGGACUGGGACCUUCAGAAUGCUGAGAAAAGAGAGGGAGAGGAAGAGCGAGAGAGAAAAAUUAAUUUGAUGUUCCACUUAUUUAUGCAUUUGUUGGCUGAUUCUCCUAUGUGUCCUGACCGGGGAUCAAACCAGCAACCCUGGCACAUGUGGCCGGCACUGAACAACCGAACUACCCCGCCUGGCUUCCGUGAAGGUAUUAUCUCGAACUGGCAGUUGCUGGGAGCCAGUCCAGAAUGCGCUGGCAGUUCUGGUUCUGUUCCUCAUGACUCAGAGGGUAUGUCACAAACACCCAUGUUAUGUGCCACCUUUCUCGAAGAGGUGAAGAGGAGAGGCACUCCUUGGUGACCAGCUAGCUUUCAACCCCCUCCAGCCGAGGCGUGCGUGGCGGUGGUUGUCCUGUGCUUUCCAGCUCCAGAAACUGUAUGAUUGUGCUGCCGCGGCUUCAGAGGAAACCCCUGCUUGCAAACCUGGUCGCUGCUGACUCCACCCCGUCCAGACGACGUCUUCAGCCCCGGGUCGCACUGGGACGCAUCGCACGCACGGACCAGAGGAGUGCUGGACAAGAGGUUGGGCUGACCUCGUGAUUCCAGCUUGGAACGUCUGUCAUUGUGAGAGCCUAUGGAACUGGAGCAAUAGGUUAAAAAGACCGGGUGCGGCAUCUUCCCACGGACGGAAUCGAUAGGAUGUGCCAGGCGAGCUAAAACCGGUUUGAGAAGAGAGAAGAUGAGUGCGCUGCUAGCCGGCGGGUGUGGACUCUUUGGGCCACUGUGGCCUUUCGAUGACAUCCCCAAGGCAGUCAUGAGGUAAGAGAGGAUU
Long non-coding RNA from Phyllostomus hastatus (greater spear-nosed bat), 908 nucleotides. RefSeq lists it as uncharacterized. Lineage: Eukaryota; Metazoa; Chordata; Mammalia; Chiroptera; Phyllostomidae. The transcript is spliced from 3 exons. The record is from RefSeq and is a predicted model, not a curated record.